RNAcentral lists this transfer RNA (75 nucleotides) under Marmota monax (woodchuck). It matches the Rfam family "tRNA". Rfam says of the family: Transfer RNA (tRNA) molecules are approximately 80 nucleotides in length. Their secondary structure includes four short double-helical elements and three loops (D, anti-codon, and T loops). Lineage: Eukaryota; Metazoa; Chordata; Mammalia; Rodentia; Sciuridae. The record is from Rfam by way of RNAcentral.
GUGGCUGUGGCUCAGUGGUAGAGUACUUACUUUCCUAGCAUGUGUGAGGCACUGGGUUCGAUUCUCAGCACCACA